CCUACGGGGGACAGCAGUGGGGAAUAUUGGGCAAUGGGCGCAAGCCUGACGCAGCAACGCCGCGUGAAGGAAGAAGGCUUUCGGGUUGUAAACUUCUUUUGACAGGGAAGAGUAGAAGACGGUACCUGUCGAAUAAGCCACGGCUAACCACGUGCCAGCAGCCGCGGUAAUACGUAGGUGGCAAGCGUUGUCCGGAUUUACUGGGUGGAAAGGGCGUGUAGCCGGGUUGACAAGUCAGAUGUGAAAUCCCGCGGCUUAACCGCAGAACUGCAUUUGAAACUGUUGAUCUUGAGUACUGGAGAGGCAGGCGGAAUUCCUAGUGUAGCGGUGAAAUGCGUAGAUAUUAGGAGGAACACCAGUGGCGAAGGCGGUCUGCUGGACAGCAACUGACGGUGAGGCGCGAAAGCGUGGGGAGCGAACAGGAUUAGAUACCCGAGUAGUC
This 442-nucleotide ribosomal RNA is filed under the name uncultured bacterium. Its description in RNAcentral is "partial 16S ribosomal RNA". It matches the Rfam family "Bacterial small subunit ribosomal RNA", at positions 338 to 795 of the family's 1533-position model. The record is from RNAcentral.